This 422-nucleotide ribosomal RNA is filed under the name uncultured Thalassiosira. RNAcentral describes it as "bacterial SSU rRNA". It matches the Rfam family "Bacterial small subunit ribosomal RNA", at positions 186 to 616 of the family's 1533-position model. Lineage: Eukaryota; Bacillariophyta; Thalassiosirophyceae; Thalassiosirales; Thalassiosiraceae. The record is from RNAcentral.
CCAUAUGCUUCCGAGUGAAAUGGAUUUAUAUUUAUCCGCCUAAAGAGAAGCUCGCGGCUGAUUAGCUUGUUGGUAAGGUAAGAGCUUACCAAGGCGACGAUCAGUAUCUGGUUUGAGAGGACGAUCAGACACACUGGAACUGAGACACGGUCCAGACUCCUACGGGAGGCAGCAGUGGGGAAUUUUCCGCAAUGGGCGAAAGCCUGACGGAGCAAUACCGCGUGAGGGAAGACUGCCUAUGGGUUGUAAACCUCUUUUUUCAGGGAGGAAUCAAUGACGUGUACCUGAAGAAUAAGCAUCGGCUAACUCCGUGCCAGCAGCCGCGGUAAGACGGAGGAUGCAAGUGUUAUCCGGAAUCACUGGGCGUAAAGCGUCUGUAGGUGGUUUAAUAAGUCAACUGUUAAAUCUUGAGGCUCAACUUC